This 330-nucleotide ribosomal RNA is filed under the name Triticum aestivum (bread wheat). RNAcentral describes it as "partial small subunit ribosomal RNA". Lineage: Eukaryota; Viridiplantae; Streptophyta; Magnoliopsida; Poales; Poaceae. The record is from RNAcentral.
AUGCUCGGCUUCGUCUCCUCCGCCCGCCGGCCGCACCUCAUCUCCUCCCGUGCGCCUCCAUCAUGCAACCAGCCGUGCCUCCCCGCCGGCGACGAGCAGCAGCACCGGCAGGACUCCCCUGCCUCACCUGAAGCUGUCGGCUUCCUCCGCGCCCUCGCACCCUGCCGGACCCCGUGCUCGACCUCGGCUUCCCGUGCCUGCGCCAUCGUGCCUCGUCGUUGCCGCCUCUCCGUUCACACCGCCGCGCCCAGCUCCCCUGCUCGCCAGCGCCAAGUCCCUGUCAUCGCUGCUCUGCUCCCAGAGGAUGCUCGCUCGUCCCAGUCGCAUUGA